AGUUGUCAUGAUGAUUGGCUUUAUGUUCAACUGCUCUGAAGUGUGAUUGAGAGAUGCCCGUCUGAACAGCA
Molecule: small nucleolar RNA, 71 nt
Organism: Eleginops maclovinus (Patagonian blennie)
Lineage: Eukaryota; Metazoa; Chordata; Actinopteri; Perciformes; Eleginopidae
Product: small nucleolar RNA Z40
Exons: 1
Source: RefSeq, a predicted model, not a curated record